GACGAACGCUGGCGGCGUGCUUAACACAUGCAAGUCGAACGGAAAGGCCCUGCUUUUGUGGGGUGCUCGAGUGGCGAACGGGUGAGUAACACGUGAGUAACCUGCCCUUGACUUUGGGAUAACUUCAGGAAACUGGGGCUAAUACCGGAUAGGAGCUCCUGCUGCAUGGUGGGGGUUGGAAAGUUUCGGCGGUUGGGGAUGGACUCGCGGCUUAUCAGCUUGUUGGUGGGGUAGUGGCUUACCAAGGCUUUGACGGGUAGCCGGCCUGAGAGGGUGACCGGCCAAAUUGGGACUGAGAUACGGCCCAGACUCCUACGGGAGGCAGCAGUGGGGAAUAUUGCACAAUGGGCGGAAGCCUGAUGCAGCAACGCCGCGUGCGGGAUGACGGCCUUCGGGUUGUAAACCGCUUUCGCCUGUGACGAAGCGUGAGUGACGGUAAUGGGUAAAGAAGCCCCGGCUAACUACGUG
This 468-nucleotide ribosomal RNA is filed under the name uncultured bacterium. Its description in RNAcentral is "partial 16S ribosomal RNA". It matches the Rfam family "Bacterial small subunit ribosomal RNA", at positions 28 to 507 of the family's 1533-position model. The record is from RNAcentral.